RNAcentral lists this long non-coding RNA (407 nucleotides) under Trifolium pratense (red clover). RNAcentral describes it as "long non-coding RNA (TPRA_LNC009418)". Lineage: Eukaryota; Viridiplantae; Streptophyta; Magnoliopsida; Fabales; Fabaceae. The record is from RNAcentral.
AGCUAAGGUUUUGCUUAAUCAAGUUGUCUCCUUCAUCAAAAGUGCUUGAAAAUAUCAUGGUAUAAUUAUGUGUUCCGUUAUUUUGUUUUCUAUUAUUAUAUGCUUUUUAAUUUGUUAUGUUGUUCUUCAUGUUGGUUUUAUGUAUUCCUUCUUCAGGCUGCUUGUAUUCUGCUAGUAGUAAUAUGUCUUAUUUUAACUAAUGCCUCCAGUUAGAAAAAUCUUGUAAAGAAAAAAUAUAUCAACAAUGAAUUAGUUUUGGUAUAAGUAACUUGAACUUUUAAACAUAUAGUAUGAAGUUCGAUUUGUAGCUCCUACGUAUGGAAUAGGUUCAAAUUUAAUUGGGAGAGAAUAAUUCAUUUUUGUAUCUUAUAUAUUCAUCAAUGAAAAUAAAUCUCUUUUAAACGACG